Molecule: long non-coding RNA, 550 nt
Filed under: Sorghum bicolor (sorghum)
Lineage: Eukaryota; Viridiplantae; Streptophyta; Magnoliopsida; Poales; Poaceae
Description: long non-coding RNA (SBIC_LNC005445)
Source: RNAcentral
UAUAGGCACUACACCACAUAGGUUGUGUCGUGUGCAAAUUUGGGAAUUUUUUGGAAUCGUUUGCUCUUUUCUAAUUAUUUUCAGCAUUUAUUGAUUUUGAAACGCGAAAAUUUGAAUUAAAGAAAUAAACACAUGAAAUAAUGGUGUAGUAUGUUUGUAAACAUGGAAUAUACAUUGUGAAGUUCAUUUGACAAAGAAAUUAUAAAAAAUUUUGAUUUAUUAAGUUAAUAUAUUUUUAAAGAAAAAAUUAUAGGAUUGAUACAUAAAAUGUUGUUAAGUGUUUGCCGUAUGCCACUUGCAGCAGCACACGACAAAGAGUUUUUAAAAAGAAAAAAAAUGGAAACAAAAAAAGUAGAAAAUGUUCGCCGUGUGCCAUAUCACACGGCAAAGAGACGAUGUUUAUCGUGUGCCCUUGAUCCAGCACAUGGCAAACCCCCCUCAGGCCAAAAAAAAGGGUGGCCGCGCGCCCAACUCCUCUCUCUCUCAACUUCUCUACCCGAGCCCCCGCCCCCCGCCACCAGCCGCGCCCACCGCCGCCGCCCACGCCCCC